Molecule: ribosomal RNA, 118 nt
Filed under: Gossypium arboreum
Lineage: Eukaryota; Viridiplantae; Streptophyta; Magnoliopsida; Malvales; Malvaceae
Source: RNAcentral
GGGUGCUAUCAUACCAGCACUAAUGCACCGGAUCUCAUCAGAACUCGUAAUUAAGCGUGCUUAAGCGAGAGUAGUACUAGGAUGGGUGACUUCUUGGGAAGUACUCGUGUUGCACCCC